Molecule: transfer RNA, 65 nt
Filed under: Lampsilis cariosa
Lineage: Eukaryota; Metazoa; Mollusca; Bivalvia; Unionida; Unionidae
Description: tRNA-His
Rfam family: tRNA
About the family: Transfer RNA (tRNA) molecules are approximately 80 nucleotides in length.
Source: RNAcentral
GACGAAAUAGUUUAAUAUAAAAUAAUAGAUUGUGGUUCUGUAGAUGGGGGAUAUACUUUUCGUUG